RNAcentral lists this long non-coding RNA (681 nucleotides) under Panax ginseng (ginseng). RNAcentral's name for it is "long non-coding RNA (PGIN_LNC002328)". Lineage: Eukaryota; Viridiplantae; Streptophyta; Magnoliopsida; Apiales; Araliaceae. The record is from RNAcentral.
GAAGGCGUGAGCUAGCUCUUCCCAGCUAUGGAUCUUUGAGUUGUCUAAUCUUGUAUACCAUGAACGAGAUUCUCCAGUCAGACUCUUCUGGAAUAGCUGCAUUUUGAGCUUCUCAUUUUCCGCGCAAGAUCCAAGUUCUCCAGUGAACACCUUCAAAUAUGUAUAAGGAUCCCCUAAUCCGUCAUACUUUUCAAAGUCAGGGGUUUUAAAUUUCUCUGGAUAAUGAACACCAGGGAAUAUGCAAAGGUCAGCAUAUGAAACACUUCCAUGUGUUCAAAUCCCUUUGAGAGCACGGAUAGUUUCCUCCAUUUGAAGGACCUUCUUCCUAAUAUCACCAGUGUCUAGAUCUCCUUUGAGAUGGGUGUUUUCAGUGUCUUUGUUGGUCAUAUCCAAUUGAGAUUCUGGAUUUAUUUUAUCCAAACCUUGUGUUACUCCUUGUGUAGAGGAUUCUGUAUGUGUAGGCAUCUUUGAACCCUGAGUAGAUUGAUGUAAUUCUUUUAGCAGAACAACCAAAUCUGUAAUUUGUAGACUCAAUCCGUCAAAUUCUUCUCGAGAAACGGCAUUAGACUGGUCAGAAGAAGACAUGAUUGGCUGUAAGCUCGUGGCCUUUUUUCGAUUUUGAGCGGGUAACUGUAGAGUCCCCGAAUCCGGAUACUUGAAACCCAAACUCGGUACUUUACG